CUAGCAGCCGUGCAACUAAUUCUGCAAUACCAGAGACUAGUAAGUUAACUGACUUUAGGAAGUGGAGGCAAAUGGAACGUUCUGCUGGUAAUCGUUACCUGCCAAAAUUUGAGUUUGAUCAUUAUCUGGAAGAAGAAGCUCAUCCUACAGUUGGUAAAUUUAACAUAUUAACUUGGUGGUCAGUUAAUGGUACAAGGUUCCCGACAAUCAGCAAAAUAGCACGCGAUGAUUUGGUUGUUCCAGCUACAACAGUAGCAUCAGAAUCUGCAUUUAGCGUAGGAAGAAGAGUGAUUGACGAAACACGCUCUUGUUUAGUUCCCGAAGCAGUGGGGGCACUGAUAACCACAGCUGAUUGGAUUCCGUCAAGGAAAAAUUCAACAGAAACAGAACCAUAACUUGAACAGCCAUGGAUCUGGCAAAAAGAACAGAAAAUGUUUUGCCACUAGCUUUGCUUCGUACCACAUCUGCUCAAGCUCAACAAUUGAAAGCUGAUUGCAUUCCAUUGCUUAUGUUUUAUAUUUCCUUUAAACUACUGUAACGUGACAAUGGAUUAAUAUGUGUACUAAUGUGUGUUUUUAUAUAACUUCGCUUUUUAGUUUUUAUUUUGUAAGAUUUCAA
Molecule: long non-coding RNA, 618 nt
Organism: Daucus carota subsp. sativus
Lineage: Eukaryota; Viridiplantae; Streptophyta; Magnoliopsida; Apiales; Apiaceae
Exons: 3
Source: RefSeq, a predicted model, not a curated record